GACACAUCUACACUCAUAUAAUUCGAUCUUUCCUUACUAUUUCCCCCCUCCCCCCAUUGACAAUGUUGGGUUCCUUCAAAAAGUACAAAAAUACGAGAGAGUUAACAUUUUCAUAAUUGGGAGGCAAGGAUACUGAAAAUAUUGAAAAUGGCGGACGUUCAGGGGGAUGAAGCCUCUCUAAGCGCACUGGCUAGAAACAUGGCGACAGUAUUGCAACAGUUAAGCCAAAAUCAUAGGCAAAACCAAGAAGUCGGCCCACUGUAAGGUUCCUAUUCUGUGGUAAACUGAGCGUUAUAAAAGGGAGAGUUAAGGUCUGAGAGAGAGAGUUAUGAUUUCGGAGAGUUAAGUUCGAGCCACGCCCACUUUUUCCAACGAUACCCAAUAUUCACAAUAACGUACUGCUUGAAAUUAAACUGUUACACAAUGUUCUACCCUUAUUCCUAAAUCUACUCCCAUGACACCAAAUCAGUUUUCAUAUAAAUUUUGUAAAACUGAUAUUAAAUAUGCAAGUUCAGUUCAGAUGACGCAUCUUCUUCAUUAAGCUUUAAAUUUGGUCUCGGAUCCGGCUGCACUUCAGAUUUUGCCCAUGUGCACACUGUAACCUGCAUCAGUAUUCGUUCUGUAAAAAAGAUAACGGGAUAAUGAGAUGCUGUGGGAUAAGAUAAGAGGGGGGGGGGGGCAAGGGUAUUUUCGUGACUCGUGAUUAGCAAUUAUUCGUGCUUCGUGAUUUGAAGAAAUACCAU
Molecule: non-coding RNA, 743 nt
Organism: Paramuricea clavata
Lineage: Eukaryota; Metazoa; Cnidaria; Anthozoa; Malacalcyonacea; Plexauridae
Source: the annotation of a GenBank genome assembly